CAUUGCCCAAGGAUGGGCCGCGACCGAUCAGGUAGUGUGAGUAAUGGCUCACAAGCCUUUACCGGUGCGGCCGUGAGAGCGGGAGCCCGGAGAUGGGCACUGAGACAAGGGCCCAGGUCUACGGGGCGCAGCAGUCGCGAAACCUUUGCAAUACACGAAAGUGUGACAGGGUCAUCCCGAGUGCCGACCGCUGAGGUUGGCUUUUACCCAGUCUAGAAAGCUGGGGGAAUAAGGAGAGGGCAAGUCUGGUGUCAGCCGCCGCGGUAAUACCAGCUCUCCGAGUGGUGUGGACGUUUAUUGGGCCUAAAGCAUCCGUAGCUGGCUGAACAAGUCCCCUGUUAAACCCACCGAUUUAAUCGUUGGCUUGCGGGGGAAACUGCUCGGCUAGGGGACGAGAGAGGCAAGCGGUAUUCUCGGGGUAGGGGUGAAAUCCUAUAAUCCCGAGAAGACCACCAGUGGCGAAGGCUGCUUGCUAGAACGCGCCCGACGGUGAGGGAUGAAAGCUGGGGGAGCGAACCGGAUUAGAUACCCGGGUAGUCCCAGCUGUAAACGAUGCAGACUAGGUGUUUGGACGGCCACGUGCCGUUCUAGUGCCGCAGGGAAGCUGUUAAGUCUGCCGCCUGGGGAGUACGAUCGCAAGAUUGAAACUUAAAGGAAUUGGCGGGGGAG
This 669-nucleotide ribosomal RNA is filed under the name uncultured crenarchaeote. RNAcentral's name for it is "bacterial SSU rRNA". It matches the Rfam family "Archaeal small subunit ribosomal RNA", at positions 197 to 876 of the family's 1478-position model. The record is from RNAcentral. Lineage: Archaea; Thermoproteati; Thermoproteota.